Long non-coding RNA from Daphnia pulex (common water flea), 964 nucleotides. RefSeq lists it as uncharacterized. NCBI's taxonomy places the organism in Eukaryota, Metazoa, Arthropoda, Branchiopoda, Diplostraca, Daphniidae. The record is from RefSeq and is a predicted model, not a curated record. The transcript has 4 exons.
GGACCAGAAAUCAAUAGAGCUGGUCGAUUCCCAAUCGCUCAAGAAUUUUAUCUGUUCUUCCGUUUUGGGGGAUACACGGAUCACCAUAUGACUUUGAAAGGACAAAAUUAAUAAAUUUUAUUGCUCUUAAUCCUAAAAUAGGGAGCAACGGUUACACAUGACACGACUCGCUGGACAGAUGAUGCUGUAAAAUGAAAUAAAAUACCCGGUGUAGUCGACUUUGACAGCUGUAGUACUGAGAGCCAGCAAAGCACAGAUACAGAAGACCGGUCCGUGAAUUCUCAUUUUGAAAAGUUUUACAAAAAAUGUUGCGAAUGAAUUCAAAAUGACAACGUACAAAACAAAACCAAUGAACGUAAUGCAAGGAUAAAUUGCCGAGUCAGUUUUAUAGUCUCACGAUCAAACUUGUUAUCAUAUUUAGAAAGCCUUUUUAAACAUUAACGUAUAUUCAUUUUUAUCAUGAUCCCAUAUUUAUCGACUAAAUCUACUAACACAACCAAAGUCUAAUAUUAACCUUCACAAACCUUUGUCAUUGGCCCAUUGCGUAAUCAAUGCGCUGCUAUACACUUUUGGUUCGUCAAUAUCGGUUAAUCAUAACCAACAUGUCCUACUUGUGUCGUUUGGUGUGAACUACUCGCGUCACAGAGAACAAAAUAAACGAAUCGAGUUAAUUCUAAUUCUAACGAUGGCACGAAAUUGCUUGGCAUCACAUUUUGCCCAACACGCAUUAAAACUGGGCCACAAAAGCCACAAAAACAUGUGCAUUUGUUGCAUUUUGCUGUCAACAUUGCAGAGCUGCCGCAUCAUCCCAAAUCCCCUUGUAGUAACAGUCAUUUUAGCAUUUUCACCCAAAACAAAUUUUUAAAAGCGAUUUUUUUAAUGAGCUUUAUUUAUACCGAUGUUUUCUUACUCUGUGUAAAACCCGCCCAAGAAAAAAUAAAGGCGUCAUAUUAAAAUGCGUUAA